CAGCCGCCACGGGAAUACGUAGGGUGCGAGCGUUAAUCGGAAUUACUGGGCGUAAAGCGUGCGCAGGCGGUUUUGUAAGACAGGCGUGAAAUCCCCGGGCUCAACCUGGGAAUGGCGCUUGUGACUGCAAAGCUAGAGUGCGGCAGAGUGGGAUGGAAUUCCGCGUGUAGCAGUGAAAUGCGUAGAUAUGCGGGGGAACACCGAUGGCGAAGGCAAUCCCCUGGGCCUGCACUGACGCUCAUGCACGAAAGCGUGGGGAGCAAACAGGAUUAGAUACCCCCGUAGUCCCUGUCUCUUAUAC
RNAcentral lists this ribosomal RNA (301 nucleotides) under uncultured bacterium. Its description in RNAcentral is "partial 16S ribosomal RNA". It matches the Rfam family "Bacterial small subunit ribosomal RNA", at positions 509 to 807 of the family's 1533-position model. The record is from RNAcentral.